ACAUCCAGCGAACUUGGCAGAGAUGCCUUGGUGCCUUCGGGAACGCUGAGACAGGUGCUGCAUGGCUGUCGUCAGCUCGUGUUGUGAAAUGUUGGGUUAAGUCCCGCAACGAGCGCAACCCUUAUCCUUUGUUGCCAGCGAUUCGGUCGGGAACUCAAAGGAGACUGCCGGUGAUAAACCGGAGGAAGGUGGGGAUGACGUCAAGUCAUCAUGGCCCUUACGAGUAGGGCUACACACGUGCUACAAUGGCGCAUACAAAGAGAAGCGACCUCGCGAGAGCAAGCGGACCUCAUAAAGUGCGUCGUAGUCCGGAUCGGAGUCUGCAACUCGACUCCGUGAAGUCGGAAUCGCUAGUAAUCGUGGAUCAGAAUGCCACGGUGAAUACGUUCCCGGGCCUUGUACACACCGCCCGUCACACCAUGGGAGUGGGUUGCAAAAGAAGUAGGUAGCUUAACCUUCGGGAGGGCGCUUACCACUUUGUGAUUCAUGACUGGGGUGAAGUCGUAACAAGGUAGGCGUAGUGCU
RNAcentral lists this ribosomal RNA (525 nucleotides) under uncultured bacterium. RNAcentral's name for it is "bacterial SSU rRNA". It matches the Rfam family "Bacterial small subunit ribosomal RNA", at positions 984 to 1509 of the family's 1533-position model. The record is from RNAcentral.